GAUGACCUCGCAGCUACCCACCAUGAGAGACUGGACCAGAUCAGCCCUCAGCUCAUCCAGGCCAAGAAACUGCUGCAGGAUAUCAGUGAGCCCCGCUGCAAGUGUCUGGAGGAGCUGGCCCUGCAGAAGGAGCUGGUCAGCUGGCUGCAGGAGGCUCUGGGAGGCAUCACCGAGCUCCAGGUAUUUGUGGACCUGGCCUCCAUCUCAGCUGGAGAGAGCGACAUUGACGUGGACCGGGUGGCCUGCUUCCACGAUGCUGUGCAGGGCUAUGCGUCCCUGCUGUAUAAGCUGGACAAGAAGGCAGGCUUCAGCGAGUUCAUGGAACAGUUGAGAGAACUCUGGAAGGCUCUGCAAAAUGACUCCCAUCUGCCCCGUAAAUUGCGAGAUUCUGCCAGAAACUUGGAGUGGCUGAAAACAGUGAAGGAAAGCCAUGGGUCCAUUGAGCUCUCAUCCCUGUCCCUGGCCACAGCAAUCAACAGCAGAGGCAUCUAUGAGAUCAGGGCACCCACAGGUGACCAGAAGGUGAGCCCUCCCAGAUUUCAGGUGCAGUGUUGGUGGCAUGCACUGGCCUGCUGCAGAGUCAGGGUUUCAGCCACCAGAAAAUGGCUUCUGAACAUGUUUUGCCUCCCAGAUCUCCCCAGAUGCCAUCCUGAGCCUGAUCCUCCCUGGGGGUCACAGUGGCCUGGAGUCAGAUCGCACCUACACUUUGGAAGAGCUAAAGGAUCUUUUAAACAAGCUGAUGCUGAUGUCUGGCAAGAAAGACCAUAAGAGUAUGGAAGUGGAGAGGUUUUCUGAGUUAUUCUGCUAUGUGCAGCGGCUCAUGCAAGCCUUCCUUAACCUGUACUCUGCGGGAAACAUGCUGUUCAGGACCUGGACUGCCGAAGUCUACUGCUGCCCCAGGAAUGGCGUCUCCAUCUGCAUGGACUUCCACUUGGAGUUGGUAAGCCAGCUGACAGAGAGUGGGGACGUCACCCAGCUCCUGGAAGCCCUCUGCAGGCAGAUGGAACACUUCCUGGAUGACUGGAAGGAGCUGGUGAGCAGGAAGCGCAGAGAACACUUCUACCUCAACUUCUACACGGCCGAGCAACUGGUCUACCUGAGCACUGAGCUCAGGAAGCAGAGUCCCAGUGAAGCUGCCCUCAUGAUGCUGUCCUUCAUCAAAGACAACUGCACCCCAGCUGACAUCUUAAGGUCCACCGAGGGGUUCAAUGAGGCCACGAAACAUCUUGUGAGGACAGUGAUAGAAAAAUUACCUCCAUUGCAAUCCGCUGAGAUCAGUCUGAUGACCAAGCUGUGGGCCAUCAUGGAACAAUCCCUGGAGUGCAUGAGUGUCUUUCUGCCUGGCUGCCUGGACCUUGAGGCCCUGGGCCAUUGUCUGGCUCACCUGGCCAGGAUGGGCAGGCCUCCUGUGAAACGGUCUCUCCCUGUGGGCCUUCAGGCUGGCCAGCCCAACCUGGUUAUGUGUGGCCACUCCGAGGUGCUGUUGGCUGCCCUGGCCAUCUACAUGCAGGCCCCAGGCCAGCCCCUGCCCACCUUUGAUGAGGUGCUACUCUGCACCCCGGGAACCACAUUUGAGGAGGUGGCCCUGUUCCUGCACCGCUGCCUGGCCCCAGUUUCCCAGGGGAAUAAGGUCUACAGCCUGCUACUUGCAGACCAGCUGAGCUACAAGGUGGCCUGCAAGACAGAGGCCCUCUUCCGCAGCCUGUCCACACAGUGUCCCCGGGAGGACUACCAGCUGGUGCUGGUCUGUGAUGCAGCACGGGAGUGGUGCUACCUGCCCUCAGCCUUUAGCCAGUACAAAGUCCACCUCAUCCCAAAGGCACCCCUCCAUGCCAUCCAGGCCUACCUGGCACAUCACUACCAGGUCCCAGCACAGACCCUGUCAGCGGCAGCUGUCUUCAGAGACCAGAUGUGUGUGGGGAUCGUGGCUUCGGAGAGAGCAGGAGUUGGGAAAUCUCUCUAUGUGAAGAGAUUGCAUGAAAAGCUGAAAAAGAAGUUAAACAGUGAAAAAGUGCCUUUAAAGAUUGUUCGGUUGACUGAUGCUCAGGUGGAUGAGUGCCACAUCCUGGACUCCCUCCUAUCUUUCUGGGAUGCUCAGUAUCGGACAAUGCCUAUGAUAUUCCACUUUGAUGUAACU
This 2137-nucleotide long non-coding RNA is filed under the name Ictidomys tridecemlineatus (thirteen-lined ground squirrel). RNAcentral's name for it is "lncRNA (ENSSTOG00000033710.1)". The record is from RNAcentral. Lineage: Eukaryota; Metazoa; Chordata; Mammalia; Rodentia; Sciuridae.